UCUGCAAGGAGGAGUGAAAGGUUAUGACUCACUUCAGCAGUAGGCAGAGAGAAGAGUGGUGGGUUCUGGACCCUAAGUGCACACAAAGCGAGCAUAUCGUGGGGAGGAGGGGCCAGCCUCAGCUGAGGAGGGCUCACCACCGAGAAUCUGCCGCCCCCGUGAGCAGGCCCUGAGCCAGCCACCGCAGAGAGCCUCCACCUACGGCCCGGACAGGGAGGCUUAGGACGGCAGAGCCCACACGUGGGGGGCGUUCUCCUAACUGGCUUGCUAUCUUGUUUUUCAGCGUCAAGAGACAAAAAUUAUACCAAAUCCUCUGAAAGAGUGGCUGCUGUCCUAUGUGAGGAGGCUCACGAUCAGCAGCAAUGCCCUUCAGAGAUCCCCCCACUUCAUCAGUCUUGGCGGCAGCGGGGCGGGGAGGGCUGUGGACUCAGCAGAGCCCAGAGGCAGGCAAGCUUCUCACGUCCUCAUCCACCAGACUCACCCGGGGGGCGCUGUGAGCUUCAAGUGGGAGAGCGACACGAGGAGCCUAACGUGGACCUGAGGCAGCCCGGGCGACCCCAAUGUCAGUCCCCUCCCCACCCCGCCAGACACUGGGGGCGACGUCCAGGAAAGGCUUUCCAGGCCUACCUGUAACUUAUUCGCUUUCUCGGCCAGUUCCACCCUGAGUCUGUCUCCUUCCGAGACCUUGGCGUGGAGCUCCUGGACCUGGGCGUCCAGCUUCUUCCUCUUGUGCUCAGACUCGGCCUUGACCUGCUGCAGCACUUUCACCUCGCACGCCAGCUCCUUGUUGUCUGUCUCCAGGCCCUGCUUGUUCUUCUCCAGAUUUGCCUUGAACUAGGAGAGAGAAGGGAGGAGCACUUCACUCGCAGUUCUACAACAGAGGACGCAAAGGGCGCGGCUUUGGUGUCCGGAGAACCGUGCUGACACGGAGUGAGCCUGCAGUCGACAUCUGUUGCAUAAAUGAAGGAAGACACCUGCUGUUCUCGGAGUGUGAAGACUUCUGUGGGCGGAGCACCCCUGUACACCCCGCUCAGGGCAGCAGAUACAGUAUGGGGGGGGCGCUGGCAGCACCGCGGGGGGCCAGCAUGUGAGAGGAGGAGGCGGGAACGAUGAAGCAAGGGCAACGAUGUGUGCGGUGCCUGAGACAGACUGGAGGCGGGAGGGGCAGGGGGCAGGGCACCAGGGACACCCAAAGGGCCUGGCGGCUUCUGGGCAGCAGGUGAGCGAGAGCAGGAUGUGCAGCUGCUGAAGCUUUAGAGCUCAGUCAGGAGGAAGAGGGCUAUCGGUGAGAGGAAUAUGUGAUUUAAAAAUAAAAUCAGGGGCGCCUGGCUCCCCCAGGCCAGCACUGUGCUCUCAGAGAGCGGCCGCUGCGGGAGCACCUGGACACCCGCGCUGCCCACCGACGUGUCCCUACCCUCUUCGCCUGCUCUAGCUGCUCCGACAGCUCCUCCAGGGCGGUCGCGUGUCUCUGCCUCAUGUCCUGGAUCUGAGCCUCGUGGUUCUUCGUCUCCUCCUCGAGAGCUUUCUUCAGCUCUGCCACUUCUUGUUCACGUUUGGUGCUAGAGAAACAUAAUUUUAGAGGAGGAAGCUCAGAAUUAGUUGAAUGACUAAAUGAAAUGCACAUUUUUAAA
Molecule: long non-coding RNA, 1631 nt
Organism: Orcinus orca (killer whale)
Lineage: Eukaryota; Metazoa; Chordata; Mammalia; Artiodactyla; Delphinidae
Exons: 2
Source: RefSeq, a predicted model, not a curated record